Molecule: non-coding RNA, 1261 nt
Organism: Lactuca sativa (garden lettuce)
Lineage: Eukaryota; Viridiplantae; Streptophyta; Magnoliopsida; Asterales; Asteraceae
Source: RefSeq, a predicted model, not a curated record
GUCAAUUCUCACUAUAUACAGAUUUUGAAAGGGAUUAAUGAUUGGAGAAGGUUUAUGAUGAUUGGUUUUUGUUAAAUAAAGUUAGUGGAAUGCUGAUGUGUGAACAAUAAUAAUAAGUCGUUAUAUAGAUUAACAAUUAUGGAUUCUCUAAAAAUCUUUUAACACAAAUAACAAUCUGUCUACUUCUAUAAUGAAUAAUGAAUUCACGAUCUCCUUGCAGCUCUUUCCUCUACAAACUAAUCCUGUAUUUGAUGAUCAUGCAAAUCCUAUGGUGAAUCCUGGGGAUUUUAGUCCUAUUGGAUUUGGAGGUCCAAGAGCAACUAAUGUUGAAUCAAAUCAAGCAAAUGUUGGUCUUCCAGAGGUUCAAACAGUAUGCUACUAUCAUUGAGGAUACACAAGGUGAUGGAAAUGAUGUUUCCAGUAGCACGAGAAUGAAAUCUUUAGGUGAAACAGAAGGUGCUUCGUCAUCUAGUGGGACGACUGGUACCCCUGGAAAUGCUUCUUCCAUUCCUGUUGGACUUGGCUCAAGAAAUUUACAACCUAAGUCUGAUCUUCGAGGCAACAACGUGGUACUAGUGGCACUUGCACAAUUAUCGGUGGCCAAUCGGAAUUGGAUCCAGCUACAAUAAUGAAUCAAGUUAUGUAAGAUCAUGCUUUAUCUAGUCUACUAUCAAGACUUUCAAAUCAAAAUGGGAAUGAUAAUCUCAAGAUUUCUUAAAAAAUCUAAUGAUUCAAGUAUCUCAAAACAGUGUAAUGAUGAACAUGAUUAAUCAACUUGCUCAACAGAUGGAUGGUAAUCAAGAUCUAACUGGCAUGUUUAGUGGGUCCAGUGGUGGCAAUCUUGAUAUAUGAAGUAUUGUUCAACAAAUGAACAAAUGUGUCUCUCAAGAUCUUAAUUGUGGGAGUGGGAGUGGGAUUGGGACUUCAACUUCAAAUUUUAUCCAAUCAACACCCUCCAAGAAAGCUGCUCUUCAUAGACGUUACAACAGUGUGAGAAAUUCCAAAGAUAAUGAAAAAUGAAGUGAUUUUAAGGUUUGUUCUGACCAACUUUAUUUAUUAUCCAUAAUAGCAAUGUAGUUUGAUUUUGCUACCAGUACGAGAAUAUACUUUAUCUUUGAUCCAUAAUAGCAACAUACUUACAUUUCUGUAUGAAUAAUAUCAAUGUACUUUGUUUUUACAUAAGACAACAAUGUACUUACAUGUUGCUAUAUAAGUAUGUUAUUAUGAGUAAUGAAAUAUGCGUACGUAUGUUACUUUAUUU